UACGUAGGGUGCGAGCGUUGUCCGGAAUUAUUGGGCGUAAAGAGCUCGUAGGCGGCUUGUCGCGUCGGAUGUGAAAGCCCGAGGCUUAACUUCGGGUCUGCAUUCGAUACGGGCAGGCUAGAGUUCGGUAGGGGAGAUCGGAAUUCCCAGUGUAGCGGUGAAAUGCGUAGAUAUUGGGAAGAACACCUGAGGCGAAGGCGGGUUGCUGGGCUGACACUGACGCUGAGGCGCGAAAGCCAGGGGAGCAAACGGG
This 253-nucleotide ribosomal RNA is filed under the name uncultured bacterium. Its description in RNAcentral is "partial 16S ribosomal RNA". It matches the Rfam family "Bacterial small subunit ribosomal RNA", at positions 524 to 776 of the family's 1533-position model. The record is from RNAcentral.